Molecule: ribosomal RNA, 600 nt
Filed under: uncultured fungus
Lineage: Eukaryota; Fungi
Description: eukaryotic LSU rRNA
Rfam family: 5.8S ribosomal RNA (bases 235-388)
Source: RNAcentral
AAGUCGUAACAAGGUUUCCGUAGGUGAACCUGCGGAAGGAUCAUUAAAGUGCCAGCGGGACACCCCGCUAAAGGCCCCACACUUGUCUACCGAACCACGUUGCCUCGGCGGGACCGCCCCCCUAGGGGGGCCGCCGGGGGGAUUUAACCCCCCCUGGUCAGCGCCCGCCGGAGGACAUAUAACCAAAACACCCUGUAACAGUGAGUAGUCUGAGCGAUUAUUUAAAUGAAUCAAAACUUUCAACAAUGGAUCUCUUGGUUCCGGCAUCGAUGAAGAACGCAGCGAAAUGCGAUAAGUAAUGUGAAUUGCAGAAUUCCGUGAAUCAUCGGAUCUUUGAACGCACAUUGCGCCCCCUGGUAUUCCGGGGGGCAUGCCUGUCCGAGCGUCAUUGCAACCCUCAAGCACGGCUUGUGUUAUGGGCCCUCGUCCCGCUAAUUUUAGUGGACGUGCCCGAAAUGCAGUGAUCGCCGCCGCGACUCCGGCGCCCGAGCGAAUGGGAAUAUCAACCACCGCUCAGUGGGCCCGGCCGGUGGCUUCGGUCUCAAACCACAAUUUUCUAAGGUUGACCUCGGAUCAGGUAGGGAUACCCGCUGAACUUAA